GACUGAUCUCUUGUCACUGUGACAUGUCCCAUAGGUUUCAUUCACAGAGAAGUUCGAGGAACAAAGCAGUUCAAUGAAGAAACUCUGAUCCUCUUCAGAAUGAGAGGACUACUCUUACUGCUACUCUUUUCAACAGGCUUGGCCACCUGUCCUGAUGGACAGUUCAAGUGCAUUCAGUCAGAGGAAUGUGUUUCUAUAGAGCAAGUCUGUGACUUUCUCAUCAACUGUAAAGAUGGAUCAGAUGAAGAGUUUUGUGGCUCUUGUGACUUUGACGAACAUACAUGUGGAUGGAUUGACAUCAGUACUGAUAACUUUAAAUGGAGCCUAGAAAUGGCAAACAUCUCUGCUAUUCCUGGAGUGGACCAUACUACAGGAUCACCUUGGGGUGGAGUUAUGCAUGUAGAAGGUGACAAUCAAGGACUCUUCUCAAAAGCAGUUCUCCAGCACACACUUCUCCAGUCCACUCAACUCGGAUGCAA
Non-coding RNA from Paramisgurnus dabryanus, 479 nucleotides. Lineage: Eukaryota; Metazoa; Chordata; Actinopteri; Cypriniformes; Cobitidae. The record is from RefSeq and is a predicted model, not a curated record.